This 119-nucleotide ribosomal RNA is filed under the name Pteropus alecto (black flying fox). Lineage: Eukaryota; Metazoa; Chordata; Mammalia; Chiroptera; Pteropodidae. The record is from RNAcentral.
GUCUACGGCCAUGCCACCCUGAACGUGCCAGAUCUCAUCUAAUCUCAGAAGCUAAGUAGGGUUAGGCCUGGUUAGUACUUGGAUGGGAGACCACUUAGGAAUACCAGGUACUAUAGGAG